CGAACGCUGGCGGUGCGCCUUAUGCAUGCAAGUCGAGCGAAGCUUUUCAGUAGUUUACUACAGAAAAUGACUGAGCGGCGAACGGGUGAGUAACGCGUGAGCAACCUACCUUAGUUACUGGGAUAGCCCGAGGAAACUCGGAUUAAUACCGGAUAUUCUUAUUUAAUCACAUGAUUUUUUAAGGAAAGGUCAGCCGAACUAAGAUGGGCUCGCGUUCUAUCAGCUAGUUGGUAGGGUAAUGGCCUACCAAGGCUACGACGGAUAGCUGGUCUGAGAGGACGAUCAGCCACACUGGGACUGAGACACGGCCCAGACUCCUACGGGAGGCUGCAGCAGGGAAUAUUGCGCAAUGAGCGAAAGCUUGACGCAGCGACACCGCGUGUGGGAUGACGGAUCUAGGUUUGUAAACCACUUUCAGGAGGGAAGAAAAUGACGGUACCUCCACAAGAAGCCCCGG
This 457-nucleotide ribosomal RNA is filed under the name uncultured bacterium. RNAcentral's name for it is "bacterial SSU rRNA". It matches the Rfam family "Bacterial small subunit ribosomal RNA", at positions 30 to 496 of the family's 1533-position model. The record is from RNAcentral.